This is a long non-coding RNA of Pipistrellus kuhlii (Kuhl's pipistrelle), 846 nucleotides long. RefSeq lists it as uncharacterized. The record is from RefSeq and is a predicted model, not a curated record. The transcript has 4 exons. NCBI's taxonomy places the organism in Eukaryota, Metazoa, Chordata, Mammalia, Chiroptera, Vespertilionidae.
AGACAGCUUCUCCCACAGGAAAUAGGGUGUCUGGGCAGGGCAGGGCUCAAGGCACUUCAUCCUCUGCAUGGGCUUUGUGCGCAGGGGUGGUUCGUGGCCCUGACCCAAACUGCCACACCAGACACGCACUUUCAGCGGAACAGGGCCUCUUCCGAUAGGUCUUGUUGGGCCACAGGGGCUGGUUUUGCCUGCAGCUCUGCGAGCAUCCAACCAAGAGCCACACACAGUGUUGGAGACCACAGCCCUGGGUGGGCUGCCCAUGGGGAACAGGGAGGCAGGCCCACAGAGAAGGGUGGAGCUGCUGGGCAGAGCAGGGGCAACUUGCUGCCAGCAGAGGGGGGUGCUGCCUCACAUUAGACCCAGCUAAGCCCUUCCCACCUCCCUGGGUGCUUUGGAAGCUGGAUUGUGUGUCCUUUCCCUCUCAGGUAACCAGGAGCCACUUGGACGCCCCCCAGCGCGGGAAAGGCAGCAGCAACCGCCUGGAGCAGAGGGUUGUCCUCGGUGCCCGGAGCUGCAGAGACAAAUAUAUGACCUUAGACAGCAACUAGCGGCCAUGCAGUCCCUGGCUGACAAGUUCCAGAACCUGUGAUGUGGAACCCAGCAUCUCGGUGCAAGAGGAGAGCAGCCCCGGAGCUGUGGCCAAGCUGGUUCCCUCCUGUUCCACAUCAGCCAAGGCAUCCUCUCCCCCUCCCUUUGCCUCCUCCACACCCCAUUUCUCAGCAGCUUCAAAUUAAAGUCCCUCUCAAAUUCUGUGGUCUCACCCUGGCCGGUCUGGCUCACUUGGUUGGUUGAGCAUUGUCCCGUGCACCAAAAGGUCACAGGUUUGAUUCCAGGUCAGGGCACGUG